AAACUCUCAUACGGACAGACUUGGCAGAGUCUAAUUCAUCACUCCCCCCUGAAUUUCAGGUGUGAGGCUCUCCUGUCUCCAAUCUAAUGAUGCCACUUCCAUCCGUAAGCUCCCAUCUGGUAAAACGACUGUAAAUGUAGCAUUGCUCCAUCAUUGGCAGUCUCCACCACCUCGUCGGCACCAAACUGCCGCCCCACCGCGCAUUCCUUCGCCUGGCACGCCGGCACGGCCCACUCAGGCUGCUGAGGCUCGGCGAAGUGCCCAGGAUCAUUGUGUCCACCCCUGAGGCAGCGAUGGAGGUGUUCAAGACGAGUGACCUCACCUUCGCGACCCGCCCGAGCGGUCCCACGCUGGACAUCGUCAGCUGCGGGGGCAAAGGCUUGGCCUUCGCGCCCUAUGGCGACCACUGGCGGCAGAUGCGCAAGCUCUGCGUCAUGGAGCUGCUCAGCACACGGCAGGUGCGCCGGAUGGACUCCAUCAAGCAAGCCGAGGUCACACACCUCAUGGAGUCGGUGGCUACCGCGUCUUCUGCCUCGGCGUCCGCCAUCAUCGACAUUGGCAAGGAGCUGGCCAGGCUGACAAACAACAUCAUCGCCAGGGCGGCGUUUGGCGGCAAGUGUCGGCAGCAGGAGGCGUACCUCCGAGAGCUCGCCGUGUUGGCUUCGCUCGUGGGAGGGAUCAGCCUGGUGGAACUCUACCCGUCGUCGCGGCUGGUGCGGUGGCUGACGGGUGAUUCCCGCGACCUGAGGAGGAGCCACGCCCGGAUACAACGAAUCCUGGCAGAUAUCAUCCAAGAGCGCAAGGAGAAGAAACAAAAUAAUGCCUCGGCUACUGCUACCGCUACUGGUACUCCUACUCCUACACCUAAAGAGGACGAAGACCUGCUGGACGUGCGGCAAAAAAUCGCCCCCUGGGAACGCACCGGCGCUAAACCGCGCACUGGGGGCGUGAUGUCACCCAAUCGCGGCGCCCACGUUUUAAAAAAAAAGUCUAAUACGGCGCAAACACGACUCAAAUUUAACGCAAACAUCGGCGAGUUCGUUCAAAUUUAAACAUACUUUAUAAAAAAAGGGAAAAACUACCGCGGGCUACCCCGCCGUCUCCCUCGCCGCCCGCCUCGCCGCCCGCCCACGCGGUUCUACAUGCCGAGGAGGCGGUAGAACCGCGUGUAGUCACCGCCGUAGUCGUCGUCGCCGUCCCCGCCGACGCCUCCGCCGUCCCUGCUGCAUCCCUCCCCCGGUUGGCGCGGCGGGUUGGACGGUCCGGGGGCGUCGUCGUCGUCGUCGCUGUCGAGGACCACGACGCCGUGCUCGUCCUCGCGCCCACGCUUGCGGGCGGCCAUCUCCUCCAGGGCCGGCGCUGCCGGACCAUCUCGUCGCAGAGGUAGUCGUUUCCACGCCCACCGCAGGACGUCCUCGUCGGAGAAGCCACGCCGGGCUACCUGCUCGUACUCCGCGGGGAGGCCGGGCUCCGGCUUGAGCUCGACGAGGACGAAGCGGCCGGUGGGGGAGGCGUUGUCGCCGAUGCGGACGCCGGAGCGGCGGGUGCGCGCGCUGACAGGCGCGCCCUGGGGCUCUGGCUUGACGGGGCGGAGGUGGAGGCAGGGGGAGCCGCCGGACGAGGAGGAGGACCCCCCGGUCUCCAUGCGCCUCGGGGUCCAGGAGCUUCCCCGACGGCGUGUGAACGACGGGGGAGCGGGGUACUUGAGGCGCGGCGUGUUGCCGCCCUUGAUGUACUCGAGGACGGCCUCCAACGUGCGCCCGGGCACGCCCCACCACCGACGCUGGCCGACAGCGUUGAGCCUGCCGGAGGGCUCGACGCCGUUGGUGGCCUCGAGCUGCUCGGCGUGACGGCGGCGGAAGUAGGGCUCCCACAGCGGGCUGUCGGGGACGUACCGUGGCCCCUCCCUCGCCGCACGCGGCAGGGACGAGCGGAUGCGUGCGAUCUUCGCACGUCGCGCCGCGCCGGUGGGUAUAGGGGGCACCGGCACGCUGCCGGCGCUGAUCCUCCACGCCCCGGGCAGCCGCAUGUCCGGCGGGACCGGGUACUCGGCCUCGAAAAGGAGGCGAGCCUCGCUCUCGUGAAGAUGGCGUCGGCCGAAGCCGUUCGCCGCCGUGCCGUUGCCUGGGAAGCGCUCGGCCAUGGGUGCUGGAGACGGCGAGAGAGAGGAGAGGGAGGAACGACGACGGCGAGAGAGAGGAGAGGGAGGAACGACGACGGCGAGAGAGUGCGAGUCGCUGAGUGCGCUGGGGCGCGUCUUAUAUAGGCCGAGGCGCCGCCCAUGCGCGAGCCGCCGUGAGUACGCGUGGCGGGCGAGGGAGGGCAAGGGAUGCGCGUCAUCCGGUCUUCACUGCGCCGCCCAUGAGGCAUCAAUGGCGCAGGCUGACCGGCGCGGCAGCGCGGCAGCUUUGGCAUUGAUUCGCCGCGGGAAACGAGGCGAUGAGGACGGCGAAGGGGCGAGAAGAGGGUAGAGUCGCUGACGCGGCGGGCCCGCGGCUAUUUCGCGCCAAAACAGUUCGCCCCGGCGCCCCCGGGCACCCCCCAGUGCGUCGGGUUCGGCCUGGAUCCGCCAGCGCUGUUUUCCGCCCAAGCCGGCGAAAAUCGGGCUCCUAGAAACGCGACUAGGCUGAUUUUUCGGCGCCGGCGCAAAAAAAAACACCUGGGGAGGCGUUCCUGGGGGCGCGGCUGGAGAUGCCUGCACGACGAAGACACUCUCAGUUUCCCUUUGACGUCGGAGAUCAUCGGGGCCGUCAUCUUUGAAAUAUUUGGAGCUGCUACGGACACUACAUCUUCCACCCUAGAAUGGGCUAUGGCAGAACUCAUCCGCAACCCACACGUAAUGGCAAGGGCCAAACUCGAACUCCAGUAGAUGCUCGGACACCACCGCAGGUCCACCAUCACCAGCGCAGACCUCGGCGACCUGCACUAUCUUCGGAUGGUCAUCAAGGAGACGCUAAGGUUGCACCCCUCUGUGUCACUGAUACACAGGGCGGCCAUGGAGGAUUGCCAAGUGAUGGGCUACCACAUACCCAAGGGCACCUCCGUCAUGAUAAACGCCUUCGCGGUUGGCACGGACCCGACACACUGGGGUGAGGAUGCCGCGGAGUUCAGGCUGGAGAGGUUUGAGGAGAUGAGUGUGGAGUACUUCAAGCAAGGGCCACAGAUGGAGUUCAUCCCGUUCGGAGCUGGUCGUAGGCAGUGCCCUGGAGCCUUGUUCGUGAGCACGACGAUGGAGCUUGUGCUGGCAAACCUCCUGUACCACUUUGACUGGGCGAUUCCGUGUGGGGCGGGCCCAGAGACACUGGACAUGGGCGAGGUGUUUGGGAUCGUCCAUCGUCGUGCAAACUAGGUCCAGCCUGCGCCUGCAGGCAGUAGCAUCUUGUCAUGUACAAGAUCAUUAGUGCACCACAAGCUUUACUAGUUUUGCAAGCAAGUUGUAGUAACAAACGGAGAGCUCAUUACCAAACCGUUAUUAAGUCAACAUAAUGUACUUUCUAAGACGGCCAUCACCAAACCGUUAUUAAGUCAACAUAAACGUCUGGAUUGCAUGGUUUCCUUUACCGUGGACAAACCAAACAAACUAGGAAAGAACUCAUAACACCUCUUGAAACUGUGUAAUCUGAUUACCGAUACCAUUCCUGUAACCAAACACCUCCUAAGUCCAUCACAACGUUCUUGUUGCCAGCGAUAUUGCUGAACCUACUGCUUAAUAAAGUUCUGUUUACUUGAAAAAAAACAUUGGCGGGCCACGGGCGAGCUGCCGGACAGGAAAGUCAUCGCUGCAGUUGGCACAGCAUCUCCACCCAGACCCUCGAAUACACUUGUGACAGCUGACCAGCAGCUUGCCUGUGAGAUUUCGGGCCAAAUGAUGGAGCCCUUCUUGUAAAUUUCAGUAUGUCUGAUGCUUUGGUAAUUGCUCCGACCCUAGUUAUUACAGGGAGCAAAUAUUAAGGGGGUGUUAUGGAGCAACGUAUCUAUAUCGCAUAGCCCAUGGGGCAUAUAUAGUACUCCGUCUGAUUUUAU
RNAcentral lists this ribosomal RNA (4023 nucleotides) under Triticum aestivum (bread wheat). Its description in RNAcentral is "partial small subunit ribosomal RNA". The record is from RNAcentral. Lineage: Eukaryota; Viridiplantae; Streptophyta; Magnoliopsida; Poales; Poaceae.